CACAAGUCACACCGUCGCAAAUUCUUCACUGCAAGCGCACAAAUCCUAUGCUACAAAUCACAAAUUAAGAAACUCAUACUCUCGCUUUUUUUUUUUUUUUUUACAGUUGCUGCAGUGAAUAUGGUGCAAAACACAUUCACACAUCUGUAUCAAGAAAUGUGAAGUCAUGGACAAAUUUUGCACAUGCGCAGAUCAGUAUGUGAACUCGUGCGAUGAGACUUGCAUACCUGUAGAAUAUUUUCUCACAAAUACGAUUUUUUUCUUGGACAUUUUCCUAGCACAAACACAAGCCACUAACUACAACUGCUUGAAUCUGCCGCUAAUCAAAUGCUCUUUUUUUCGCUCACAAACGACAAGUUCCGCGCGCUCACAUAUCUCCGUGGCACGCGGAGUAAAAGUGAUCUGUGCACCUGUAGAGCCAGGGGCGGGCACUGUUCAGAGAGCACAGAACUGGGCCAAUCAGAGGAGCUCGUUUGGGCGCCUGUCUCACGGCGAAAAAAAAAACAACUCCAGACAGCUUCGUCUUGCCGAGCUGGUACCUGAUGUUUAAGAAAAAUGACAGAUCAGAGUGGGGCUUUGCAGGUCUGUUUUAUGAAAAACGGAUAAAUUAUUAAAUGAGGUGCUCUACUGGAUUGAGAUGUGGAGACUGUGCAGUCCAUCCAGCUCCUGUGAACACAGAAACCCCAGGAGCAGAGAGCCUGUCCAGCCCAUGAGCAGCACUUCACUCUCUUCCCAAAUCAGCCCAAAACAACCCCUUCCAGAUAGUUCCCUUAUGCAGGCUGCCUCAGUCAAUCACCCUAACCCUGCCCAUCAGCUCAGCAACAGCACUGCAGAACUCACAUGACUGGAAAAACAAGCACCAAUACACUGCAGCCCACGGAUUUAAACACUUAUCCGUUCUGCAUUGUCAUCUGUGAGCAAAAAAACAGCAUCUGAGCCUCGGAGCAGCAGAUUCAAGCAGCUGUAGUUAGUGACUUGUGUUUGUGCUAGAAAAAUGUCCAAGAAAUGGAUUUGUGUACCUGCAGUGAAAAAUUUGAGAAGGUGUGAAUGUUGUGUUUGUGGGAGAGAAACAAAAUUCUACAAGUUUGCAACUCUUAAAGCAUUUUUCCCUGUGACUUCAAAUUUUCUGAUACACGUGUGACUAAUUCCACUGUCCCAGGUGCUCAGCGGUUUUGCUCCAAUAAUACCUUCAUAUGCAAACUCAUCAGGGGUGAACAAGGGGGUUCAGGGACAGCCCUCCUCAGUCUUUAUGUGAUGCACAUCUUUAUGAGAAGCCAGGAGCUUUUUACUUAUUUAUUUUGGACAACUCAUAAGGUAUGGUUCUCAUUUAAAUGUAAAAUGUAAAUAGAGCUGAGUUAUAGUUACAUUUGCCAAAUAAAUAGGUGAUGAAAUGUGUAAAAUAUUUUACAAAUGUUUUGAAACAAUAACCUUUACUGUUCAGAGGACAUUGAUAUUUUUCAAAAUAAAAGUUAAAAUAAAAUCAGUAAAAGAUAAACUUGCUAAAGUAAAGAGUGCAGCACAUUCUAGCGACCAUGCAUAAUACUGUCCAUCUUAUUUUGGAUCAAUUCUUUCAACCAUCAAGAAGCUAUUGAAUUUUUUUUUCAAAAUAAAUAUUCAUACAAAUUAUGCAACAGUUAACCUUCCAAGUAAAGUGUGUAGCAUAUUUACCAGAAGGUGCACAAUAAUGUACAAGUUGCUUUGGAUCAAUACACGCAAUUGUUUAGAAGCUACUGAAUUCUGUAACAGCAAAAGUUGCCAAAAUAAGAAGACUAAUAUUGCAUAAUUUUGGAAGUUUUGGAACAAUACAUUUAUCUGUUCAGCAGGUAUUAAUUUUUUUUUCAAUAAUAGAUGUUUAAAAAUCACUAAACUAAUCAUGAGAAGGUGCACAGUAAUCUACUUGGAUCAACAUACUUGUCCAUACUUGUCCAAAUAGUAUUGUAGAAUUGUAGAAGGCAUGCACUGGUUUUGAGAUAGCCUACUGUCUUAAUUCUAAUUAUUUUCAAUUGCAAAAUUCAGCUCAUCAGGGUCUGUGUAGGUGGUAGUGGGGUGGAGUGAGUGCUGUAAGGUGCUGCUGUGGUUCAUGUCAAUCUGUUCACACUGUUCUUUUCUGUCGCACUUUAUCGACGGUCCCUAACGGCUCCGGAUCAGGGGCUCUGGAGAAUGUAGAAAAUGUUCCGCUCGCUCCGGAUCGCGAUUUGAUUAAACAUUUGAAACAUUGACUCUCCUUUCGAUGACAAAUUCAAUUCAUGUAGUCUAGUCCGGGAACUGAAAGAAACUUUACCGCAGUACCUAGCCAGCUGUUUUCAGUCUGCUGUAAGCUAAAUAAAGUACAGUAGCGGGAGGUGAUGGUUAAGCGGAGAGGAGAAGCUCAGAUCUGGUGCAUUAGUGCAGAUUCAUGAGCCAGUGUGAGGCUUUAGCUAAAAUGUAACUGAUACCUAAGCAGAACGAAAACACUGGGAACAAUGUGCUGGCCAAAUGCGUCAUGGUGAAGUCCUCGUGACUGCGCUCGUACUGUACCUUGUUG
Long non-coding RNA from Pangasianodon hypophthalmus (striped catfish), 2524 nucleotides. RefSeq lists it as uncharacterized. The transcript has 3 exons. The record is from RefSeq and is a predicted model, not a curated record. Lineage: Eukaryota; Metazoa; Chordata; Actinopteri; Siluriformes; Pangasiidae.